RNAcentral lists this ribosomal RNA (251 nucleotides) under uncultured Oscillibacter sp. RNAcentral describes it as "partial 16S ribosomal RNA". It matches the Rfam family "Bacterial small subunit ribosomal RNA", at positions 88 to 339 of the family's 1533-position model. The record is from RNAcentral. Lineage: Bacteria; Bacillati; Bacillota; Clostridia; Eubacteriales; Oscillospiraceae.
GAGGACAGUGGCGGACGGGUGAGUAACGCGUGAGGAACCUGCCUUUCAGAGGGGGACAACAGUUGGAAACGACUGCUAAUACCGCAUAACGCGUAGAGGUCGCAUGGCCUUUACGCCAAAGAUUUAUCGCUGAAAGAUGGCCUCGCGUCUGAUUAGCUAGUUGGUGAGGUAACGGCCCACCAAGGCGACGAUCAGUAGCCGGACUGAGAGGUUGAACGGCCACAUUGGGACUGAGAUACGGCCCAGACUCC